UACGGGGGGAGCAAGCGUUGUUCGGAUUUACUGGGCGUAAAGGGCGCGUAGGCGGUCGUGACAAGUCACUUGUGAAAUCUCCGGGCUUAACUCGGAACGGUCAAGUGAUACUGUCGUGCUAGAGUACAGAAGGGGCAACUGGAAUUCUCGGUGUAGCGGUGAAAUGCGUAGAUAUCGAGAGGAACACCGGUGGCGAAGGCGGGUCUCUGGGCCGAUACUGACGCUGAGACGCGAAAGCGUGGGGGAGCAAACAGG
RNAcentral lists this ribosomal RNA (255 nucleotides) under uncultured bacterium. Its description in RNAcentral is "partial 16S ribosomal RNA". It matches the Rfam family "Bacterial small subunit ribosomal RNA", at positions 524 to 776 of the family's 1533-position model. The record is from RNAcentral.